RNAcentral lists this transfer RNA (75 nucleotides) under Parvibaculum sp. RNAcentral's name for it is "tRNA-Met". It matches the Rfam family "tRNA". From Rfam's summary of the family: Transfer RNA (tRNA) molecules are approximately 80 nucleotides in length. Lineage: Bacteria; Pseudomonadati; Pseudomonadota; Alphaproteobacteria; Hyphomicrobiales; Parvibaculaceae. The record is from RNAcentral.
UGUGGGGUGGAGCAGCGGUAGCUCGCCGGUCUCAUAAGCCGGAGGUCGCCAGUUCGAACCUGGCCCCCGCAACCA